This 22-nucleotide non-coding RNA is filed under the name Rattus norvegicus (Norway rat). The record is from RNAcentral. Lineage: Eukaryota; Metazoa; Chordata; Mammalia; Rodentia; Muridae.
CAUAAUCUGUUGCCACAAGAGA